CCUCACAAAGGCGGCGGAAGGUGAUCGAAUUCCGGUGAUGCGAGUUGUUCUCCGUCUAUAAAUACGCCUCGCCCGAGCUGUGCGGUAGGCAUUGAGGCAGCCAGCGCAGGGGCUUCUGCUGAGGGGGCAGGCGGAGCUUGAGGAAACCGCAGAUAAGUUUUUUUCUCUUUGAAAGAUAGAGAUUAAUACAACUACUUAAAAAAUAUAGUCAAUAGGUUACUAAGAUAUUGCUUAGCGUUAAGUUUUUAACGUAAUUUUAAUAGCUUAAGAUUUUAAGAGAAAAUAUGAAGACUUAGAAGAGUAGCAUGAGGAAGGAAAAGAUAAAAGGUUUCUAAAACAUGACGGAGGUUGAGAUGAAGCUUCUUCAUGGAGUAAAAAAUGUAUUUAAAAGAAAAUUGAGAGAAAGGACUACAGAGCCCCGAAUUAAUACCAAUAGAAGGGCAAUGCUUUUAGAUUAAAAUGAAGGUGACUUAAACAGCUUAAAGUUUAGUUUAAAAGUUGUAGGUGAUUAAAAUAAUUUGAAGGCGAUCUUUUAAAAAGAGAUUAAACCGAAGGUGAUUAAAAGACCUUGAAAUCCAUGACGCAGGGAGAAUUGCGUCAUUUAAAGCCUAGUUAACGCAUUUACUAAACGCAGACGAAAAUGGAAAGAUUAAUUGGGAGUGGUAGGAUGAAACAAUUUGGAGAAGAUAGAAGUUUGAAGUGGAAAACUGGAAGACAGAAGUACGGGAAGGCGAAGAAAAGAAUAGAGAAGAUAGGGAAAUUAGAAGAUAAAAACAUACUUUUAGAAGAAAAAAGAUAAAUUUAAACCUGAAAAGUAGGAAGCAGAAGAAAAAAGACAAGCUAGGAAACAAAAAGCUAAGGGCAAAAUGUACAAACUUAGAAGAAAAUUGGAAGAUAGAAACAAGAUAGAAAAUGAAAAUAUUGUCAAGAGUUUCAGAUAGAAAAUGAAAAACAAGCUAAGACAAGUAUUGGAGAAGUAUAGAAGAUAGAAAAAUAUAAAGCCAAAAAUUGGAUAAAAUAGCACUGAAAAAAUGAGGAAAUUAUUGGUAACCAAUUUAUUUUAAAAGCCCAUCAAUUUAAUUUCUGGUGGUGCAGAAGUUAGAAGGUAAAGCUUGAGAAGAUGAGGGUGUUUACGUAGACCAGAACCAAUUUAGAAGAAUACUUGAAGCUAGAAGGGGAAGUUGGUUAAAAAUCACAUCAAAAAGCUACUAAAAGGACUGGUGUAAUUUAAAAAAAACUAAGGCAGAAGGCUUUUGGAAGAGUUAGAAGAAUUUGGAAGGCCUUAAAUAUAGUAGCUUAGUUUGAAAAAUGUGAAGGACUUUCGUAACGGAAGUAAUUCAAGAUCAAGAGUAAUUACCAACUUAAUGUUUUUGCAUUGGACUUUGAGUUAAGAUUAUUUUUUAAAUCCUGAGGACUAGCAUUAAUUGACAGCUGACCCAGGUGCUACACAGAAGUGGAUUCAGUGAAUCUAGGAAGACAGCAGCAGACAGGAUUCCAGGAACCAGUGUUUGAUGAAGCUAGGACUGAGGAGCAAGCGAGCAAGCAGCAGUUCGUGGUGAAGAUAGGAAAAGAGUCCAGGAGCCAGUGCGAUUUGGUGAAGGAAGCUAGGAAGAAGGAAGGAGCGCUAACGAUUUGGUGGUGAAGCUAGGAAAAAGGAUUCCAGGAAGGAGCGAGUGCAAUUUGGUGAUGAAGGUAGCAGGCGGCUUGGCUUGGCAACCACACGGAGGAGGCGAGCAGGCGUUGUGCGUAGAGGAUCCUAGACCAGCAUGCCAGUGUGCCAAGGCCACAGGGAAAGCGAGUGGUUGGUAAAAAUCCGUGAGGUCGGCAAUAUGUUGUUUUUCUGGAACUUACUUAUGGUAACCUUUUAUUUAUUUUCUAAUAUAAUGGGGGAGUUUCGUACUGAGGUGUAAAGGGAUUUAUAUGGGGACGUAGGCCGAUUUCCGGGUGUUGUAGGUUUCUCUUUUUCAGGCUUAUACUCAUGAAUCUUGUCUGAAGCUUUUGAGGGCAGACUGCCAAGUCCUGGAGAAAUAGUAGAUGGCAAGUUUGUGGGUUUUUUUUUUUUACACGAAUUUGAGGAAAACCAAAUGAAUUUGAUAGCCAAAUUGAGACAAUUUCAGCAAAUCUGUAAGCAGUUUGUAUGUUUAGUUGGGGUAAUGAAGUAUUUCAGUUUUGUGAAUAGAUGACCUGUUUUUACUUCCUCACCCUGAAUUCGUUUUGUAAAUGUAGAGUUUGGAUGUGUAACUGAGGCGGGGGGGAGUUUUCAGUAUUUUUUUUUGUGGGGGUGGGGGCAAAAUAUGUUUUCAGUUCUUUUUCCCUUAGGUCUGUCUAGAAUCCUAAAGGCAAAUGACUCAAGGUGUAACAGAAAACAAGAAAAUCCAAUAUCAGGAUAAUCAGACCACCACAGGUUUACAGUUUAUAGAAACUAGAGCAGUUCUCACGUUGAGGUCUGUGGAAGAGAUGUCCAUUGGAGAAAUGGCUGGUAGUUACUCUUUUUUCCCCCCACCCCCUUAAUCAGACUUUAAAAGUGCUUAACCCCUUAAACUUGUUAUUUUUUACUUGAAGCAUUUUGGGAUGGUCUUAACAGGGAAGAGAGAGGGUGGGGGAGAAAAUGUUUUUUUCUAAGAUUUUCCACAGAUGCUAUAGUACUAUUGACAAACUGGGUUAGAGAAGGAGUGUACCGCUGUGCUGUUGGCACGAACACCUUCAGGGACUGGAGCUGCUUUUAUCCUUGGAAGAGUAUUCCCAGUUGAAGCUGAAAAGUACAGCACAGUGCAGCUUUGGUUCAUAUUCAGUCAUCUCAGGAGAACUUCAGAAGAGCUUGAGUAGGCCAAAUGUUGAAGUUAAGUUUUCCAAUAAUGUGACUUCUUAAAAGUUUUAUUAAAGGGGAGGGGCAAAUAUUGGCAAUUAGUUGGCAGUGGCCUGUUACGGUUGGGAUUGGUGGGGUGGGUUUAGGUAAUUGUUUAGUUUAUGAUUGCAGAUAAACUCAUGCCAGAGAACUUAAAGUCUUAGAAUGGAAAAAGUAAAGAAAUAUCAACUUCCAAGUUGGCAAGUAACUCCCAAUGAUUUAGUUUUUUUCCCCCCAGUUUGAAUUGGGAAGCUGGGGGAAGUUAAAUAUGAGCCACUGGGUGUACCAGUGCAUUAAUUUGGGCAAGGAAAGUGUCAUAAUUUGAUACUGUAUCUGUUUUCCUUCAAAGUAUAGAGCUUUUGGGGAAGGAAAGUAUUGAACUGGGGGUUGGUCUGGCCUACUGGGCUGACAUUAACUACAAUUAUGGGAAAUGCAAAAGUUGUUUGGAUAUGGUAGUGUGUGGUUCUCUUUUGGAAUUUUUUUCAGGUGAUUUAAUAAUAAUUUAAAACUACUAUAGAAACUGCAGAGCAAAGGAAGUGGCUUAAUGAUCCUGAAGGGAUUUCUUCUGAUGGUAGCUUUUGUAUUAUCAAGUAAGAUUCUAUUUUCAGUUGUGUGUAAGCAAGUUUUUUUUUAGUGUAGGAGAAAUACUUUUCCAUUGUUUAACUGCAAAACAAGAUGUUAAGGUAUGCUUCAAAAAUUUUGUAAAUUGUUUAUUUUAAACUUAUCUGUUUGUAAAUUGUAACUGAUUAAGAAUUGUGAUAGUUCAGCUUGAAUGUCUCUUAGAGGGUGGGCUUUUGUUGAUGAGGGAGGGGAAACUUUUUUUUUUUCUAUAGACUUUUUUCAGAUAACAUCUUCUGAGUCAUAACCAGCCUGGCAGUAUGAUGGCCUAGAUGCAGAGAAAACAGCUCCUUGGUGAAUUGAUAAGUAAAGGCAGAAAAGAUUAUAUGUCAUACCUCCAUUGGGGAAUAAGCAUAACCCUGAGAUUCUUACUACUGAUGAGAACAUUAUCUGCAUAUGCCAAAAAAUUUUAAGCAAAUGAAAGCUACCAAUUUAAAGUUACGGAAUCUACCAUUUUAAAGUUAAUUGCUUGUCAAGCUAUAACCACAAAAAUAAUGAAUUGAUGAGAAAUACAAUGAAGAGGCAAUGUCCAUCUCAAAAUACUGCUUUUACAAAAGCAGAAUAAAAGCGAAAAGAAAUGAAAAUGUUACACUACAUUAAUCCUGGAAUAAAAGAAGCCGAAAUAAAUGAGAGAUGAGUUGGGAUCAAGUGGAUUGAGGAGGCUGUGCUGUGUGCCAAUGUUUCGUUUGCCUCAGACAGGUAUCUCUUCGUUAUCAGAAGAGUUGCUUCAUUUCAUCUGGGAGCAGAAAACAGCAGGCAGCUGUUAACAGAUAAGUUUAACUUGCAUCUGCAGUAUUGCAUGUUAGGGAUAAGUGCUUAUUUUUAAGAGCUGUGGAGUUCUUAAAUAUCAACCAUGGCACUUUCUCCUGACCCCUUCCCUAGGGGAUUUCAGGAUUGAGAAAUUUUUCCAUCGAGCCUUUUUAAAAUUGUAGGACUUGUUCCUGUGGGCUUCAGUGAUGGGAUAGUACACUUCACUCAGAGGCAUUUGCAUCUUUAAAUAAUUUCUUAAAAGCCUCUAAAGUGAUCAGUGCCUUGAUGCCAACUAAGGAAAUUUGUUUAGCAUUGAAUCUCUGAAGGCUCUAUGAAAGGAAUAGCAUGAUGUGCUGUUAGAAUCAGAUGUUACUGCUAAAAUUUACAUGUUGUGAUGUAAAUUGUGUAGAAAACCAUUAAAUCAUUCAAAAUAAUAAACUAUUUUUAUUAGAGAAUGUAUACUUUUAGAAAGCUGUCUCCUUAUUUAAAUAAAAUAGUGUUUGUCUGUAGUUCAGUGUUGGGGCAAUCUUGGGGGGGAUUCUUCUCUAAUCUUUCAGAAACUUUGUCUGCGAACACUCUUUAAUGGACCAGAUCAGGAUUUGAGCGGAAGAACGAAUGUAACUUUAAGAGGCAUUUCAUCCUUCAUGAAGCCAUUCAGGAUUUUGAAUUGCAUAUGAGUGCUUGGCUCUUCCUUCUGUUCUAGUGAGUGUAUGAGACCUUGCAGUGAGUUUAUCAGCAUACUCAAAAUUUUUUUCCUGGAAUUUGGAGGGAUGGGAGGAGGGGGUGGGGCUUACUUGUUGUAGCUUUUUUUUUUUUUACAGACUUCACAGAGAAUGCAGUUGUCUUGACUUCAGGUCUGUCUGUUCUGUUGGCAAGUAAAUGCAGUACUGUUCUGAUCCCGCUGCUAUUAGAAUGCAUUGUGAAACGACUGGAGUAUGAUUAAAAGUUGUGUUCCCCAAUGCUUGGAGUAGUGAUUGUUGAAGGAAAAAAUCCAGCUGAGUGAUAAAGGCUGAGUGUUGAGGAAAUUUCUGCAGUUUUAAGCAGUCGUAUUUGUGAUUGAAGCUGAGUACAUUUUGCUGGUGUAUUUUUAGGUAAAAUGCUUUUUGUUCAUUUCUGGUGGUGGGAGGGGACUGAAGCCUUUAGUCUUUUCCAGAUGCAACCUUAAAAUCAGUGACAAGAAACAUUCCAAACAAGCAACAGUCUUCAAGAAAUUAAACUGGCAAGUGGAAAUGUUUAAACAGUUCAGUGAUCUUUAGUGCAUUGUUUAUGUGUGGGUUUCUCUCUCCCCUCCCUUGGUCUUAAUUCUUACAUGCAGGAACACUCAGCAGACACACGUAUGCGAAGGGCCAGAGAAGCCAGACCCAGUAAGAAAAAAUAGCCUAUUUACUUUAAAUAAACCAAACAUUCCAUUUUAAAUGUGGGGAUUGGGAACCACUAGUUCUUUCAGAUGGUAUUCUUCAGACUAUAGAAGGAGCUUCCAGUUGAAUUCACCAGUGGACAAAAUGAGGAAAACAGGUGAACAAGCUUUUUCUGUAUUUACAUACAAAGUCAGAUCAGUUAUGGGACAAUAGUAUUGAAUAGAUUUCAGCUUUAUGCUGGAGUAACUGGCAUGUGAGCAAACUGUGUUGGCGUGGGGGUGGAGGGGUGAGGUGGGCGCUAAGCCUUUUUUUAAGAUUUUUCAGGUACCCCUCACUAAAGGCACCGAAGGCUUAAAGUAGGACAACCAUGGAGCCUUCCUGUGGCAGGAGAGACAACAAAGCGCUAUUAUCCUAAGGUCAAGAGAAGUGUCAGCCUCACCUGAUUUUUAUUAGUAAUGAGGACUUGCCUCAACUCCCUCUUUCUGGAGUGAAGCAUCCGAAGGAAUGCUUGAAGUACCCCUGGGCUUCUCUUAACAUUUAAGCAAGCUGUUUUUAUAGCAGCUCUUAAUAAUAAAGCCCAAAUCUCAAGCGGUGCUUGAAGGGGAGGGAAAGGGGGAAAGCGGGCAACCACUUUUCCCUAGCUUUUCCAGAAGCCUGUUAAAAGCAAGGUCUCCCCACAAGCAACUUCUCUGCCACAUCGCCACCCCGUGCCUUUUGAUCUAGCACAGACCCUUCACCCCUCACCUCGAUGCAGCCAGUAGCUUGGAUCCUUGUGGGCAUGAUCCAUAAUCGGUUUCAAGGUAACGAUGGUGUCGAGGUCUUUGGUGGGUUGAACUAUGUUAGAAAAGGCCAUUAAUUUGCCUGCAAAUUGUUAACAGAAGGGUAUUAAAACCACAGCUAAGUAGCUCUAUUAUAAUACUUAUCCAGUGACUAAAACCAACUUAAACCAGUAAGUGGAGAAAUAACAUGUUCAAGAACUGUAAUGCUGGGUGGGAACAUGUAACUUGUAGACUGGAGAAGAUAGGCAUUUGAGUGGCUGAGAGGGCUUUUGGGUGGGAAUGCAAAAAUUCUCUGCUAAGACUUUUUCAGGUGAACAUAACAGACUUGGCCAAGCUAGCAUCUUAGCGGAAGCUGAUCUCCAAUGCUCUUCAGUAGGGUCAUGAAGGUUUUUCUUUUCCUGAGAAAACAACACGUAUUGUUUUCUCAGGUUUUGCUUUUUGGCCUUUUUCUAGCUUAAAAAAAAAAAAAGCAAAAGAUGCUGGUGGUUGGCACUCCUGGUUUCCAGGACGGGGUUCAAAUCCCUGCGGCGUCUUUGCUUUGACUACUAAUCUGUCUUCAGGACUCUUUCUGUAUUUCUCCUUUUCUCUGCAGGUGCUAGUUCUUGGAGUUUUGGGGAGGUGGGAGGUAACAGCACAAUAUCUUUGAACUAUAUACAUCCUUGAUGUAUAAUUUGUCAGGAGCUUGACUUGAUUGUAUAUUCAUAUUUACACGAGAACCUAAUAUAACUGCCUUGUCUUUUUCAGGUAAUAGCCUGCAGCUGGUGUUUUGAGAAGCCCUACUGCUGAAAACUUAACAAUUUUGUGUAAUAAAAAUGGAGAAGCUCUA
RNAcentral lists this long non-coding RNA (7176 nucleotides) under Homo sapiens (human). Lineage: Eukaryota; Metazoa; Chordata; Mammalia; Primates; Hominidae. The record is from RNAcentral.